CGUUCCCGGGCCUUGUACACACCGCCCGCCACACCAUGGGAGUGGGUUGUACCAGAAGUAGGUAGAAUAACCGUAAGGGGUUCGCUUACCACGGUAUGGUUCAUGACUGGGGUG
Molecule: ribosomal RNA, 114 nt
Filed under: uncultured bacterium
Lineage: Bacteria
Description: partial 16S ribosomal RNA
Rfam family: Bacterial small subunit ribosomal RNA
Source: RNAcentral